RNAcentral lists this transfer RNA (68 nucleotides) under Marmota monax (woodchuck). RNAcentral's name for it is "tRNA.Ala". Lineage: Eukaryota; Metazoa; Chordata; Mammalia; Rodentia; Sciuridae. The record is from RNAcentral.
GGACUGUGACUCAGUGGUAGAGCGCUUGCGUAGCAUGUGUGAGGCACUGGGUUCGAACCUCAGCACCA